CUCCCUUUUAACAGGAAGAAACCUCCGGCAGAACCAGGCUCAGGGAGGGGCGGGGCCAUCUGCUGCGACCGGUUGGGGUUAGUGCCGUUACCAUGGCGAGGGCUGGGCGCCCUGCAUCUGAGAGCUACCAGCCAGCUUGCUUUUCUGUCAGUCAGUCGCUCUCUUACUCCAGUGGAGCUCCAAAGGUGGAGGAUGAAGAUGAUCAGGCACCGAUUUUCUCCCUCUCUAAGAGCUCCAUGGAUGUUUUAAUGGCUGCAAGUCCGCCACACAAGCGUGAUCCAUCGUGGACCAGACUGGACCUGAGGCGCAGCUCAAGCACAAACACCCACUAUGAGCAGAACUCCGUGACACUGCAGCCGCUGCACGCUUACAUGUGGCAACAUGUCAACACCACCAACAGCCACCAGUUAGCAUCCACAACCAAUAAUGUUAACAUCAAUAGCUCUCCUGCUCUCAGCGAGCAUUGGGUUUCCAACAUGCAGCGAUGGAGUGGGUGUAGUGGUAGCACACAUAGCCGCAGCAGCACUCCAGACACAGUCGUGUCACGCCCCUCCAGUCUCAUCCAUGAAGCCACUUGUUCUGCAGCACCAGAUUCUCCGAUGUCCAAACUGACCUCUCCAGAAACCACACCCUCACCGUUCAUCUCCCCGCUCAACACGCCUACUUUACCACCUGUACAGACUUCUUCUUCACCACUUCCACUGAACUCACUGCAGCAGGAAGAUUUACUAGAACUUUCACCUGCAUUCUCAUCCCCAAAGAUUGACAACUCUUCAAGCUUUCAGUCCCACUCUCCUGAAACACUCCAGCUCACCAGCACAGAAGAUGAAGGCUUCUUGGAGAAUAAUUCCCUUUCAUUUCAGUUCCCUUCCCCAAUCCUGUCCUCUGUUAGUUUAGAUGAAGCAGGAGUGUCUUCAAAUCCCGAAUGCCUUGUUGAUGACGUGAUAGAACUGCUGUCCAGCCCUACAGGAAUACUGGAGGGUGAAGAAGCAAGAAGCCCUGUGCAAAUGCUUAGCUACCUGACACCUGAUUCUCCAAAGCAGCAGUCAAAAACAGGACCAUCUGUCUGCUAUCUUGAGCUGCCGUGGCAGCCAGAGCAAAUCUGUGCAACAGGUCGAGGUUGGGGGUCACCACUUGUCUCUUCCCUGAGUGACUCACGGUUGGGUGACACUUGCAGGUGCUGCUUAAAUGCCAGAGAGGGCACUGAAAGGGCAAUGAAGGUAGAGCUGUUCAGGCAAGAAGCUCCACCAGUGUCACGGCCAGAAAUGGCAGAUGCAGCUGUGCAGACGGUCUCUCCUGUUGGCUCAUGGUGGGACCUCAAGAGGAACAUUUCCACAUCCAACAUGGGGUCCCAUUCUAUCUUGGGCUCGCCACCUGGAUCCAGACUGAACCUGAAGUCUUCAGCAGGGUCUAACUCCAAUCUAGUAUCAGCAUCUUCCAGCAUGUUCCCAGUUAGCAGUGCAGAGGAGGAGGAAAAACAAGUUGAAGACCCUGCAUUGGAAGUUACCUCUGUUUCUUCACAUGAUCUGGAGAGCAGGAGGCCGUGUCUGAAGAUUCAGGCAGAGGAUAGGGAUGAGCUAGGUAGAAGGAGGAGCAGUAUGAAGCAGGUGCAAUGGGAUGAGGAUGGUAUGACAUGGGAUGUUCAUGGGGCAUCUGUGGACCCUGAAGAGUUGAACACAGCCAUACUAAAACAUCUGGAAAGCAAGAACAGCCCAGAACCGCCAAGACGUUCCUCAAAGAAGAAGAAAGCACCUAAACCUCCUCAAAACCUUGAUAUCACUGUGUCCCCUAAGAAUGAAGGAACAGCAGAAGCAGAACAGGGUAGAGAAGAAGAGCAGGAAGGAGGGGGAAAUAAGAUAGAAAUAGAAGAAGCUUCACAGAAAAAGAGUACAGCAGAAGAUGACAAAGCAAAAGAAGAUGAGCAAGAGAUUUGUGGAGAGGAAGGCAGCCACCAUUCUAAGUCCCCCUCAUCUGGGAAUGGACACAGCCGGAAGAAGAGUGUGUUAAGGUCACUGAGGAGGCCAAGAUGGUGUGGAGCCUCCACAAAGGCAGAUGACUAAUAUAGCUGGCUAAAUUAAAUCUAUGAUAACUAAUUAAAUCCUCAGGUUGCACAAUAUUCAUAACCUUGGAUUGAAGCUGAAAGAGUUUCAGAGUUCUGUUCAGCUCUAUUCUAGACUUUCUGUCAGCAUGUUUUCUGUUAUUAGGUACAUCUUUCAACAGGUGCAACAUUAGUAAUGUUUUCCUCUCUCACUGGUAUUCCCUGUUUAGUUGAAGAUAGAUGUAACUCUGCUAAACUUUUCAUAAAAGUCAACAGUCAUCACUAAAACUUGUUCCUGUAGAUGUACAAUAAAAUAUUGGUGUCCAUUGCUGAAAUUCUUUGGUUUGUGAGUGAUUACUACAAAUGAGCAACACAAUGGACAUAAGGAUAAGAAGUGAAGGGUAAGAGUUUUCUAUGUGCAAAGACAUGCUUUUUGGGUUCAUUCGUCAUUCUAAAUUGAAUCUAAAUAUUUUUUAUGUGUCUUAUCGAAUUCACAGCCUCAGACAUCUGUGAGACCCAAGUCGAGAUAUUUUCCACACUCUCCUUCAGACAUACUCGUACUACUGGAAAAACUCUGUUGUUUAGGUCAGGGAGUUUCCUUGAUGUAGCCUUUAGCAAGGCAGUACACACGUUGUCCACUGGUUGGCAGUGAAUGCAUUAUUAUUCUCACACCGCUACAAUCUGACAUUACUUUGACUUUGUACAAGAGAAUUGGCGUGCUACCAUAAGACCAGUUAAUGUCUGAUCCACUUGGCCAUUUGUAUUUUCAAAUGCACCGCUGUGGGUAAAGUCAAAAGUACAUGUGUAAAAACAGCCUGUUAGCCCUUUGAAGGUUUCGUAACUGUCCAGGGCUCUAGCCUCACUGAGCCCUAGUGUAAUAACCAGAUCAGAAAAGAGAUUGAUGGAUGGAUUGAUGUUCCUACACACAUUGGAGUUGGGGGCCAGUCGAACUAUUGCCCAACUCUUUUUGCUUAGUUUGUUUAGUUCAAGCAAAAUAAAUACAUACAUUGACAUUUCACUGCAAAUAAUUGUUAUGUACUGGGCAGGUUGCUGGUUACCAACCACUCCGCACAUUAUGACUUUAAUAAACACAACAAAGGAAUAUACACGGUAGCUAAGUUAGCUCUCUGCACAAAUAUGUGUUUUAUGUUAUUAAGCACGAAUCCCUUAAAAAUGUACUUUUGCGCGUUUGUGUUAAAACUAUGAAUGCACGAAUGUGUUUGUAAAUGGGUUUUUUAUUUAAAAAGUGCU
This is a long non-coding RNA of Astatotilapia calliptera (eastern happy), 3289 nucleotides long. The record is from Ensembl. Lineage: Eukaryota; Metazoa; Chordata; Actinopteri; Cichliformes; Cichlidae.